Unclassified non-coding RNA from Carlito syrichta (Philippine tarsier), 294 nucleotides. Lineage: Eukaryota; Metazoa; Chordata; Mammalia; Primates; Tarsiidae. The record is from Ensembl.
UGCUUGCUCUUUCUGUGAUGAAGGCAAGUGUGUCCCUGGAGAGGCCACUGAAUCUAGAACUGCUUUUAGGGAGUUGUGAAUGGCACAGGCCUCUCAGAGAAGCUGAGGACACUGUCACAGUGAGGCAGUCAAGACCCAGGGCCUCCGUGACACAGGCCCAACUCUGUAUCUGUGGGGGGAUGGAAUCUGGUAAAAAUGUUCCUGAGUUGCUCUUGGAUGUCUACUUAGCAUCUUCCUAGGAUCUUGACACCUGUGACAGUUAAUAUUUUAAAACUCAUUUGAUCAUAUUUUGUA